This 386-nucleotide ribosomal RNA is filed under the name uncultured bacterium. RNAcentral's name for it is "bacterial SSU rRNA". It matches the Rfam family "Bacterial small subunit ribosomal RNA", at positions 954 to 1341 of the family's 1533-position model. The record is from RNAcentral.
GCUAAACGCGAAGAACCUUACCAAGGCUUGACAUGCAUCUCUAAACACGUGAAAGCGUGUGACCCUUCGGGGAAUUUGCACAGGUGCUGCAUGGCCGUCGUCAGCUCGUGUCGUGAGAUGUUGGGUUAAGUCCCGCAACGAGCGCAACCCUUGUGACUGGUUGCCAGCACGUAAUGGUGGGAACUCUAGUCAGACUGCCCAGAUCAACUGGGAGGAAGGUGGGGACGACGUCAGGUCAGUAUGGCCCUUACGCCUUGGGCUGCACACGUACUACAAUGCCCAGCACAAUGAGAACCGAUGCCGCGAGGUGGAGGAAAUCUGCAAAACUGGGCUCAGUUCGGAUUGGAGGCUGCAACUCGCCUCCAUGAAGUUGGAAUCGCUAGUAA